UACGUGGGGAGCAAGCGUUAUCCGGAUUUAUUGGGUGUAAAGGGUGCGUAGACGGGAUUACAAGUUGGUUGUGAAACCCCUCAGCUCAACUGAGGAACUGCAACCAAAACUAUAAUUCUUGAGUGCAGGAGAGGAAAGUGGAAUUCCUAGUGUAGCGGUGAAAUGCGUAGAUAUUAGGAAGAACACCGGUGGCGAAGGCGACUUUCUGGACUGUAACUGACGUUGAGGCACGAAAGUGUGGGGAGCAAACAGG
Molecule: ribosomal RNA, 253 nt
Filed under: uncultured bacterium
Lineage: Bacteria
Description: partial 16S ribosomal RNA
Rfam family: Bacterial small subunit ribosomal RNA
Source: RNAcentral